Molecule: long non-coding RNA, 854 nt
Filed under: Gossypium barbadense (sea-island cotton)
Lineage: Eukaryota; Viridiplantae; Streptophyta; Magnoliopsida; Malvales; Malvaceae
Description: long non-coding RNA (GBAR_LNC020765)
Source: RNAcentral
UGACGCUCAAGGUGAUUUUCCCUGAUGAAGAUGCAGCACUCUUGUUGUUCUCCUUGGCUAGCUCUUCCUCAUCCCCUCUUCCUCCAGCAGGCAAGGCCACUGCAUUAUCGUACCCGGUUGAGCCACCCCUUCCCUUUGGGUCCAAGAAAGAUGAGCCACGGUAGGAUGGUACAAGGAAGUCUCCUCCAAAGCUAUCAGGUUUGCCUGAUGCAACCAAUUGCUUGAUGGUGAACAGGAAAGGCACACGCUCACCACCAGGAAGCUGAACUGUGACGGCAGCAUAAUCAAUCCCAUCUUUCUCCUCGAAUUUGACGGUGCCAUCGGUGGAUACCUCGAAAGGGCCCUCGAUUUCGUCAAGGGUGUAGGUUAAACGGGUCAUGAGCUUGGUGUUUUGGAACUCAGGAGGGGCAUUCUUGUUAACACCCUCAGCCUUGACAGUGAAGGAAGUGGGCUCCAAGCAGAACUUCUUGGCGUAGUAUUUGCCAGGCUUGAAGGCAAAAGAGUCGACACCACCAUCGAUGGUUGGGCACUGGUUAGCAGUUCCUGUUCCUUUGACUUCCAUGUAUGUCUUGCUUUGGAUUUCAUCGUAGGUUAGCCGCUUUGGAACUCCUUCAGCGCUUGCUCCCUUCAAAACAAACCAGUCAUUGUAACAUAUUUGUUCAGAUCACGGAUCAUAUAUGAUCCUUAUGUAUGCAAUCAACGAUACUUGGUUCAAAUAAAAAAUCCAAAUGAUAAAGUUACAACACCAUGCAAGCUCAUUAAGAAUCCUACCUAAGCUACAUAAAAAUAAAUACAGAAAUUUGAAGCAAGUGAGAGGCGAGAAGUAAAUACCGAGACAACAAGAGCAGAUGUAG